Molecule: ribosomal RNA, 425 nt
Filed under: uncultured bacterium
Lineage: Bacteria
Description: partial 16S ribosomal RNA
Rfam family: Bacterial small subunit ribosomal RNA
Source: RNAcentral
GUGGGGAAUAUUGGGCAAUGGGGGAAACCCUGACCCAGCAACGCCGCGUGAAGGAAGAAGGUUUUCGGAUCGUAAACUUCUAUCCUUGGUGAAAAUAAUGAUGGUAGCCAAGAAGGAAGCCCCGGCUAACUACGUGCCAGCAGCCGCGGUAAUACGUAGGGGGCAAGCGUUGUCCGGAAUGAUUGGGCGUAAAGGGCGCGUAGGCGGCCUGGUAAGUCUGGAGUGAAAGUCCUGCUUUUAAGGUGGGAAUUGCUUUGGAUACUGUCGGGCUUGAGUGCAGGAGAGGUAAGUGGAAUUCCCGGUGUAGCGGUGAAAUGCGUAGAGAUCGGGAGGAACACCAGUGGCGAAGGCGACUUACUGGACUGUAACUGACGCUGAGGCGCGAAAGUGUGGGGAGCAAACAGGAUUAGAUACCCCAGUAGUCC